RNAcentral lists this small nucleolar RNA (144 nucleotides) under Ananas comosus (pineapple). Its description in RNAcentral is "small nucleolar RNA snoR135". It matches the Rfam family "small nucleolar RNA snoR135". Lineage: Eukaryota; Viridiplantae; Streptophyta; Magnoliopsida; Poales; Bromeliaceae. The record is from Rfam by way of RNAcentral.
GAAGCAGGAUAAGUGUGUAUCGUGCUAUGCCUGUUCAUGCAUUUCUAGCCGAAAGUGUUUCCUGCUAUAGAAAUAUUGGGGAAGUGGCAGUUGGGCUUGCACGCUAAUUGUAUGGCUAUCUCAACAAUCAUUUUCCUCACAUGC